RNAcentral lists this transfer RNA (74 nucleotides) under Camelus bactrianus (Bactrian camel). It matches the Rfam family "tRNA". Rfam says of the family: Transfer RNA (tRNA) molecules are approximately 80 nucleotides in length. Their secondary structure includes four short double-helical elements and three loops (D, anti-codon, and T loops). Further hydrogen bonds mediate the characteristic L-shaped molecular structure. tRNAs have two regions of fundamental functional importance: the anti-codon, which is responsible for specific mRNA codon recognition, and the 3' end, to which the tRNAs corresponding amino acid is attached (by aminoacyl-tRNA synthetases). tRNAs cope with the degeneracy of the genetic code in two manners: having more than one tRNA (with a specific anti-codon) for a particular amino acid; and 'wobble' base-pairing, i.e. permitting non-standard base-pairing at the 3rd anti-codon position. The record is from Rfam by way of RNAcentral. RNAcentral also lists the same sequence under 1 other name. Lineage: Eukaryota; Metazoa; Chordata; Mammalia; Artiodactyla; Camelidae.
GUUGCUAUAGCUCAGCGGUAAAGUGCAUGCUUAUAGCACGCACGAGGUCCUGGGUUCAAUUCCCAGUACCUCCA